CUUCAUUUCCCAGAUGGAGCAACUCAGGCACAGAGAGCAAGUCAUUGGCCACGGUCUCCCAGCUGAGGAAGGAUGGAGCCGGCUGAGAUCCUGUUCUGGGGAUCUAACUGCAGCCUGCAUUCUGGGCUGUUGUAUUCUCCCAUGUUGCUAUCUGACGAGCACAGCAUGGGCUCAGAGUACAGAGAGGAGGAACCAGGUAAUAAGGAGAGGCCUGGGAGAAGGCUGGUGCCUUGGGGAGGAAGAGAGAGGCCCCAUUCUAAAGGGAUGGCAUUGGAAGCUCAUAGUGAUAAAGCAAAGCCGACAGGUUGUGGGGCUGGGAGUUAAACACACAGCUCUGGUUUCUGCCUUUUCACAGUGGUGAUGAAUGGGCACUGAGACCCUCUCGAGCUAAAGUUGUCAUCACUGCUCUUCAUAGUCUGAAGGUGCAUGAAAUGGUCAACUUUCUUCCAAAGGGCUUUUAUGCCUAAGUCUGUGGUUAGUGUCUAAACAGAUAUUUACUGAAGUCCUGCUGGGUGCAGACACUGUGGCCAGCCCUGAGGCUACAGUCGAGAUGUAGCCAGUCUCUGUCCUCAUGGAGACCUGUCUAUUGAUAAGAAAAGAGAAAACUCACUGAGCAUUGACCCUGUGCCCACUGCUUUUGAUGCAUCUCUCAUUUAAUCCUUCUAUGAAAUCUGUGAAAUAAACACAUCACCAUCAUCCCUAUUUCACAUUUAGGGAAACAUAUGCUUAGAGAGCGUAAGUAACUUGGUCAAGGUCGCACAGAUUCGAACUCUCAUCCCACAGGUGCAGGAAUGAGAGGCAGCAGCCGGGGAAGCCAGGGUCUCCGGAAGUCCUUGUCUCAGGGCAGUGAUCCAGAGAGAGAGAGAACACGAUUGUCUCAGCAAUGGGUCUUCUUCUGCGUCUUGAAGGAGCACUUCCAGAGCCUCUCGGUGUUAAACAUCAUGUUGUGAAUGACUCCGUGAGCUCUGACCCAGUGACCUUGGGGAUAAAGGAGGGGAGGUACUAUUCUAGAUUGUCCUGUGACAUUUACAAUCUAGGAGAAGGCAGGAGAGAGAACUAAGAACAGAGAGCAUGUUCUGAGAUGUCUGCUGUGUUUGCAGGUACCUUCCCUCAAUUUCCCUACUCAUUGGCCAUGCUAGAAAACAGGUCUUGGCACCAUAUUUGUACCAUGGUACUUCCCCUCCCUAUACUCAAUUGGUUGGCCAGAAGCCCAAUUGUCAUUCUCUUUCUCUCUCUCUCUCUCCCUCUCCC
Molecule: long non-coding RNA, 1251 nt
Filed under: Pan troglodytes (chimpanzee)
Lineage: Eukaryota; Metazoa; Chordata; Mammalia; Primates; Hominidae
Description: long non-coding RNA NONPTRT002509
Source: RNAcentral